RNAcentral lists this microRNA precursor (193 nucleotides) under Oryza glumipatula. RNAcentral's name for it is "MIR812 microRNA precursor family". It matches the Rfam family "MIR812 microRNA precursor family". The record is from Rfam by way of RNAcentral. Lineage: Eukaryota; Viridiplantae; Streptophyta; Magnoliopsida; Poales; Poaceae.
AAAAAGGCAAACCCUGGGUUUCCGUGUCUAACUUUGAUUGUCCGUCUUAUAUGAAAUUUUUUUAUAAUUCGUACUUUUAUUGUUGUUAGAUGAUAAAAUAUGAUUAAUACUUUGUGCGUGACUUGUCUUUUUAAUUUUUUUAAAUAAAACGGACGGUCAAACGUUGGGCACGGAAAUCAGGGUUUGUCUUUUU